UAAGUAUGGGACACUUGAUGACAUGACUUCCUCAUGCCACCUUCUCUGUUUGUCCCUCUCCCCACAGUGUCUGGACAAAUGAGUCCUUACCAGGAAACCCAGCUGGGGCUGGUGUUUAGUCACUGUCAAGAGACCUCAGCUAAAGUCUGUGUAAAAACUGUCUGCUCUCCUUGUUGCUGGCUGCCCUACAGGAUCUCACUGUGAACAGACCCUGGGGAAGGCUGCCUUUUACUGGGUGUCUGGUCUGCUGAGUGUCUUUAUACUUCACAACAACCUUAUGAAGUAGAACAUCUCUCCUUCAGAGGAAGUCAGGAGAAGGUGAGCAGAGAGACCUAGGGGUUUUCAACAACAGGAAGAAGGUGGGAUGUCCCCUGACUUCUCUCUGAACAGAGCACAGGAUAUUCCUGUAAUUAAGGGAAGGACGGAGACAUGGAAAGUUGGCAAGAAGAAAUGACCCUAAAGCAAUGGCCUUAGAGGCAGGCCCAGCACAUUUCUCCUGAUAUAAAAUGUCAAACUCAGAAUGCAUACAUUAUCACAUGGACUUCUGUCACCAAGCAGUGAUCAGAAUCCCAUGACCACGUGACUAUCAAGGGCCGUGUUUUGUGUGUAGCCCCUGCAAGCACCGAGUUCCUCCUGAAAACCCAUGUCGGAAUCUGUAACAUGACCAAGCCUUCUCAGUUCUAAAUGGCUUGGGCUGCUGUCCCUAUACCGUGACAUCAGAGCUCUGGGACACCCUGGGUCCCCAUCAGCUGAUCCUCAAGAAUGUGACUCAGGGGAAGAUGAUGGUCCCAAAUGUUUUCUUCCGGCUAUUGGCAAGUGUGUUUAGUUAUGCCAUCCACACCAAGGAAAACAGCGGUCACGAAACCUAGAAUGUUUGAAUGUUCCAUGAUUUAUUACCAGGGCAAAAGAAAUACUGCAGACCACAAGACCAUUUAUCAAGUAAUUACAUAUCUUUCUGUAAGACGGCAUGCACAGCCUCAGAAACAGUCAGAGCCAGCCCGUCUUUGGUUCUGGGCCCCAGUUCCUUCCUUGCCUGCUGUGACAGGAUGAUGUCAGAUCUCCAACCCCAAAUGCCUGGUCUAGCACCACUUGGUCCUGGAAACCUGAUUGCAGGGUGGGGGUGGGGUACAUCGAGAGAAUACAAGAGGAUCGACACACAGACACGUACAAGAAAAGCUGGGGUUCGCUUACUCUGAUGGGACAGCAACACCUGUGCAAGCAAGUGGGAACCUCAGAGCUUUUAGUCCAUACGGUACAGUACGAGAUGUUAUCAAGUCUCCGCAGGACGUCUCUGUCAGGGAGCAGUCACAGGCUGCAGUCAUCGGGGAGAAGGAAGCGACAGUGGCUAGUUUUCGCACGUGCUGGCCAAUCAUUUCUAAACACUCUACUUACACCAGAGGAAGGCUUUGCCAAUUCCCACGGGUCUGAAGCCCUGGGUACUUGACAUGGCUGUGCCCAUAUUAACCACACACAUUCACUCAGGGCUUCCUUAGGUCCCCACACCCAACCUUGAGAGUCAGCCACAUCCGCAGUGGGGCUCUUACAGAAGUGACCUUCUUCAAGCGGGGUUUCCUUAGUGCUACUUCCAGUUUGUGCCAUUCAGCUGCUCCACUUCCCCGAUGAGCAUCCUCCUAGAAUUAGAGCGAAAGACGGCGCUGGUGUCCUAGGGUACCGGAACAUCUCACUGUAAUGGCUUCACUUUGGGUCUUACUCUUUCCCUUCUCUGCCCCUCCCCCCUUUCCCCCUGUAGGUCCUAGUUCUU
Peromyscus maniculatus bairdii (prairie deer mouse) is the source of this 1762-nucleotide non-coding RNA. NCBI's taxonomy places the organism in Eukaryota, Metazoa, Chordata, Mammalia, Rodentia, Cricetidae. The record is from RefSeq and is a predicted model, not a curated record.